RNAcentral lists this long non-coding RNA (423 nucleotides) under Rattus norvegicus (Norway rat). RNAcentral's name for it is "long non-coding RNA NONRATT024172". Lineage: Eukaryota; Metazoa; Chordata; Mammalia; Rodentia; Muridae. The record is from RNAcentral.
GGAGACUGGCUGUUGUCACAUCAUGUCCCCGUUGCUGUCUCCUUUCUCCUGGAGCUCUGAUGGGCAACAUGGCCCAGCUCAGUGCAGCUGGAGGAGGAUUUAAUUCAGAUCUUGCAAGUGCGUCACUGAUGGAAUGGACUGCCCAGCCCUAGAGACAUCUUUCUAAAUUAGAUAUCUGGUCAUAUUUUCCCACCAGAAAAUACCCAGAGCAUCUCCAGCACCUUCAGGAUGGAGGAAGACCGUGUGGAAUGGUAGGAAUGGGCCUUUAGAAUAGUAUGACUUAGCCUGGCCUGCCUCUCUUCGCAGUGACAAGCCCGACAGGACCUCUGCAUGGCUGCUAAUGCUUGAGCACUCUCUGUCCCACCCAAGAAGGGACAAAGACAGCAUGACACAGAAUGCCUUCCCAGACAGCAAGUCGGCAAU